UCAGGCCUAACACAUGCAAGUCGAACGUGAAAGCACUUCGGUGUGAGUAGAGUGGCGGACGGGUGAGUAACGCGUAGGAAUCUACCCAGUAGUGGGGGACAACUUGGGGAAACUCAAGCUAAUACCGCAUACGCCCUACGGGGGAAAGCGGGGGAUCUUCGGACCUCGCGCUAUUGGAUGAGCCUGCGUCGGAUUAGCUAGUUGGUGGGGUAAAGGCCUACCAAGGCGACGAUCCGUAGCUGGUCUGAGAGGAUGAUCAGCCACACUGGGACUGAGACACGGCCCAGACUCCUACGGGAGGCAGCAGUGGGGAAUAUUGCGCAAUGGGGGCAACCCUGACGCAGCCAUGCCGCGUGUGUGAAGAAGGGCCUAGGGUUGUAAAGCACUUUCAAUUGGGAAGAAAAGCUGCAGCUUAAUACGUUGCAGCCCUGACAUUACCUUUAGAAGAAGCACCGGCUAACUCCGUGCCAGCAGCCGCGGUAAUACGGAGGGUGCGAGCGUUAAUCGGAAUUACUGGGCGUAAAGCGCGCGUAGGCGGUGAGUUAAGUCAGCUGUGAAAGCCCCGGGCUCAACCUGGGAACUGCAGUUGAUACUGGCUGACUAGAGUACGAGAGAGGGAGGUAGAAUUCCACGUGUAGCGGUGAAAUGCGUAGAUAUGUGGAGGAAUACCGGUGGCGAAGGCGGCCUCCUGGCUCGAUAC
RNAcentral lists this ribosomal RNA (700 nucleotides) under uncultured bacterium. Its description in RNAcentral is "bacterial SSU rRNA". It matches the Rfam family "Bacterial small subunit ribosomal RNA", at positions 42 to 740 of the family's 1533-position model. The record is from RNAcentral.